RNAcentral lists this ribosomal RNA (510 nucleotides) under uncultured bacterium. RNAcentral describes it as "bacterial SSU rRNA". It matches the Rfam family "Bacterial small subunit ribosomal RNA", at positions 16 to 507 of the family's 1533-position model. The record is from RNAcentral.
AUCCUGGCUCAGGAUGAACGCUAGCUACAGGCUUAACACAUGCAAGUCGAGGGGAAACGAUAUUGGAAGCUUGCUUCUGAUAGGCGUCGACGGUCGCACGGGUGAGUAACGCGUAUCCAACCUGCCCAUCACUUGGGGGAUAACCCUUUGUGAAAGUUAAGGCUAAUACCCAAUGACGUCUCUAGAAGACAUCUCGAAAGAGAUUUAAAGAUUUAUCGGUGAUGGAUGGGGAUGCGUCUGAUUAGCUUGUUGGCGGGGUAACGGCCCACCAAGGCGACGAUCAGUAGGGGUUCUGAGAGAAGGUCCCCCACAUUGGAACUGAGACACGGUCCAAACUCCUACGGGAGGCAGCAGUGAGGAAUAUUGGGUCAAUGGACGAGAGUCUGAACCAGCCAAGUAGCGUGCAGGAUGACGGCCCUAUGGGUUGUAAACUGCUUUUAUAAGGGAAUAAAGUGGGAGUCGUGACUCUUUUUGCAUGUACCUUAUGAAUAAGGACCGGCUAAUUCCGUG